UACGUAGGGGGCUAGCGUUGUUCGGAAUUACUGGGCGUAAAGCGCACGUAGGCGGCUUUUUAAGUCAGAGGUGAAAGCCCGGAGCUCAACUCCGGAAUUGCCUUUGAGACUGGAUCGCUUGAACGUCGGAGAGGUGAGUGGAAUUCCGAGUGUAGAGGUGAAAUUCGUAGAUAUUCGGAAGAACACCAGUGGCGAAGGCGGCUCACUGGACGACUGUUGACGCUGAGGUGCGAAAGCGUGGGGAGCAAACAGG
RNAcentral lists this ribosomal RNA (253 nucleotides) under uncultured bacterium. Its description in RNAcentral is "partial 16S ribosomal RNA". It matches the Rfam family "Bacterial small subunit ribosomal RNA", at positions 524 to 776 of the family's 1533-position model. The record is from RNAcentral.